CCUCCCCUCACAGCGCUCCCGUAGCUCCGGCGCGCGGGACGUUCGGUUGUGGCAGCGAUGGCGGAGCGGCGGCGAAGGGCGGCGAACGUGCUGGGCGAGCUCCUGCGGCGAAUAUGUGAAGAGGGAAGGGAGAGUGUCCCUGAACGUCCAUAUCUCUACGAGACUGAUGUGGAGAUCUGUUUGGUUGGUGGCAGUUGCAAAAGUCCUGUCGAAAGAUUUUGGAAUGGGAGCAGCACAAUGUAUAUUUUGCAGAAGGCAACACACCAUGAAGAAGGUGACUCCAUGGAAGAAUCAAAACCAGAUGAAGCUCUUUUUCCCUCUGAGCUUUUGCCAAAGGAGAGUCCUGGACCAGCAGCUCUUUCUGUGGGAAGAGCAAAGCAGUUGGUUUCCUUAUAUGCAAUGGUGCAAAAUCCAAACGUGACCCACCUGGGAAUAAGGGACCUGGUGCUUCCUCCCCUCUGGAUCAGGUGUGAUGGUUCUGAUCCUGAACACACCUGUUGGAUUGGAGCUGAGCCUCUCAGAGCUGGAAAGAAGAUCACAGGGAUCACGAUUUACAUGGUGUCAUGUGAUGGUCCUACAGCUGACAAAACCUGUUUUGCAAACCUGGAAGAGCUCAAAAUGGAACAUAAAAGAAGACAUCAUUCAUCUGUGGUGACAACAAAAGGAUUUGCUCAGUAUGAACUGAUCCAAGUUGCUGCAAUGGAGGACACCAUUGUAGAAUCUGGAGGCAAUAUCUAUGUUGAUAUUACCUGGAAUAUUGUUGACAAGAUUCUGGAGACUCCCCCACUGAUUUCAGCUGCCACUCUGAACAUUGCCCUGGAGUCAGGGGAUCCCAGGAGUCCUGUGUACCAGGUGUAUCGGGAGCUGCAGCUUCUCCUGGCUUUGGCUGAAGGUUUGAAGACGGGUGUGACUGAGUGGCCUGAGCCUCUGGAGUCUGAAUCAGCUGUUGAACUGGUCCAGGAAUUCCUGACUGAUUUAAAGAAGAAGCUGGAUGGAGACUGUGGGUCUGGGAGCAAGGAUGAAACACAGAAAAUCCAAUGUGACACGGCUGCAGUGGACAGUUACAUCAAAUCCAUCUUCAGUGAGAGAGGAGACCUGGAUUUUGCUGAACAAUUAUGGUGCAAAAUGAGAAGUGUCAGUUCCUACCAGGAGCUGAUAGACUGUUUCACACGGGUCAUAAAAUCCCUGGAACGUGGUGAGAUCCAGCCCUGGAUUCAUCAGGGGAGCAGCAGCUUCCUGCGGAAGUUGAUCCAGCAGUCCUACCAUGGGAAGAUGGAGGUGGUUUCCCUCAGUGGCAUCACUCCCAUCCAGAUGCUCUUUGAGAUUGGCUUGGAUAAGCUGAAGAAGGAUUAUGUCAGUUUUUUCAUAGGUCAGGAACUUGCAACAUUAACCUACUUGGAUUACUUCACUUCCACAUCAGUGGAUCUACAGGAACAAGUUCAUCGUGUUCAAAAGCUCCACCAUAUGCUGGAAAUAAUGGUCAACUGCAGAGUCUUACUCCAGUUCAGACAUGAGAACCUCUUCCCUUUGACUCAGAUUUGCAUGAAGUAUUACAAGGAAAACCCUCUCAACGAGAAACAUGUGUUUCAGCUGCCCAUCAGACCAGCUCUUGUGAAGAAAUUCUACCAAAAUGAACACCCUGAGUUAUGGAAGGUGGAGAUAAGCAGUGGGCACGGAGCAAAGGAGGUGAAAACAAUGUGGCAACUCAGUGCUAAUCCUCCUGUGGAACAUGUGGCAUCAAACAAUUCAGGUCUCUUCUCUGACUCCACAGUGAAUGGGAGCCCUGAAGAAAGGCUGUAUUUUAUCACAGUGACCAAGUGCAGUCAGGUGCAUUUCACAUAAAUCCAGAGGAAUUCUUUAGGGUGAUGUCUGUGGAAAAACCAGCUCUCCAGUCUGGAGGUUCAGCUCAAGCUCUUCAUUCUUUUAGUUCUAACCUCUUAUCUCCAGAUGUACACCAGGCCUGGGUCACCCCUAACAGAAGAUACCCUAAAACUGAGAAAAACAGGAAAUUUUGGGAGUAAGUGAAAUGAGGCUGCCUUGGUGCCCACCUCUGCUGGCCUCCCACUGUGGGAACACCAGUCUUGUAUCCUGGGAAUUCUGUGGGCAGCUUCUGAAGCCAGUCUCCAUGGGAAGAAAACCUCCAGAGUGUGGAAGAUCUUGUGUUUGAAUCCUGAGCUUGUGAUCCCUGAGAUCCCUGAGAUGAGCUGGAGAUGGCUCCAUGCUAAGGGUGGGCCUGCAUUUGAUGGGAGCCCAGCAAGCUGCUGCAGGCUACCCCUGAUUGGAAUUCCCUUGGAUUGGCCUAAUUGCAGGCUCUGCCAUCAUCUGUUUGCAAUCACAAAGAGGAAGCUUCUGAAGCUUGGGAAUGAGAGAAAAUGAAGUGUCCUGACACAACUUCAAAACAUCCAGAAUGCUCUUGGAGGUUUUCCCAUCGCUGUUUCUGUCAGAUCUCCUCUGAAAACAGUCUCACUGAAGGGAGGUUCAGAUCAGCAACACGGACCAGAAGAGUGUCCAGAGACCAGAACAGCAGUAGCAGUUGGCCUUGAGGAUGAAUUCCAGCCACAGUCCCAUCCCAUGGCUGAUCCAGGAUGCUUGGGAAGCAGGCACAUGGUGGCCUCCAUGGAUGGCAACCAGCAGCAAACCCGCAGGGAUCCAGCACAACAACAAAAUCCGAAGAUCAGUUUUGACAGAGUAAAAUACUACAAAUUACACUGUCAGAUGACCUCAUCACCCAGGGCUGGCACGCUGGAUUGCAACAUUGCUGGAAGGAAAAGCAGGAGCACUACAGGAAUCUCUGCUCCAUG
Pseudopipra pipra is the source of this 2801-nucleotide RNA transcript. It is a transcript of the gene named zwilch kinetochore protein, with no coding region annotated. The record is from RefSeq and is a predicted model, not a curated record. The transcript is spliced from 25 exons. Lineage: Eukaryota; Metazoa; Chordata; Aves; Passeriformes; Pipridae.